Molecule: long non-coding RNA, 931 nt
Organism: Lycium barbarum (goji berry)
Lineage: Eukaryota; Viridiplantae; Streptophyta; Magnoliopsida; Solanales; Solanaceae
Exons: 3
Source: RefSeq, a predicted model, not a curated record
UAUUGGUAUGGGACAAUUAGGAAAAAUUUGGGACCAAAAGGUGAUAAAUUGGAAGUGGAAAAUCAUCCACAAAUUCCAUGUGGGCUGAGCAUAGUGGAUUGUGGUGCCCACACAAUUUGUGUCAUCUUUUGAGUGGAACAACUCUUUAAUGUGGGCCAAGGGACAAUUGUGCAAUUCAUUAAGUGAUAAAAAGAUAACCACAAUUCAUUUACUUCAUUCUCCACUUGAACAAAAAAAAAAAAAAAAAAAAGAAGAAGAGAAAGAAGCUCCCUCCAUUGAAGCUCACGGACAAGAAGGCCAAAAAUCAUCCCCUCUUUUUAGCUCCUCUAAAAUUAUUCCAUUGAUGUAAACCCACUAUAUUGAGGUCCCUAAGUAGCGUGGAAGCAUCGUUGGAGCGAUCAACCCAUUAUUUUCAUCUUUUGGAAACCCUAGGCUAUUGGAAAGUUGAAGAAGGAAGACCUUGGGCAGCCCGAAUCAUAGGUUGGAUUUAUCUUGAGUUGGAUCAUAUUGGAGAGUGUUUGAGGUACGGACGCACAGCCUGGUGAUCCACCUGUUUAGGACACCCUUUCUGCUAUUCGGAGUGCUCCUCUCUUUCCGGAGCUUAUACUUUUGGUAUAUAUAUAUUUAUUAGUGCAUUUGUAUAUAUUCAUUCAUGGGUACGGCGGGGCCCUGUCCCGUCAUAUGAUUCUGUCGGUCUGUUUAGAGGUCUGUGGACAUGUUUGUGGGUUAGGGUCUUUCUGUAUGGAUGUAUGUACAUGUCGUUUGGGCGAUCCCAUACGCCGAGGCGGCCGGUCCGCAUAUGUUGUUUGGGCGAUCCUAUACGCCGAGGCGGCCGGUCCGCAUAUGUUUAUAUAUUGCUUGGUUAGCCCUGUGUGGCUUUUGUUGGUAUUUUCUGCGUGCAGGGUAUAUUGGAUAGUCCGUAAAACAAAGG